This 73-nucleotide transfer RNA is filed under the name Ursus americanus (American black bear). It matches the Rfam family "tRNA". From Rfam's summary of the family: Transfer RNA (tRNA) molecules are approximately 80 nucleotides in length. Their secondary structure includes four short double-helical elements and three loops (D, anti-codon, and T loops). Lineage: Eukaryota; Metazoa; Chordata; Mammalia; Carnivora; Ursidae. RNAcentral also lists the same sequence under 1 other name. The record is from Rfam by way of RNAcentral.
ACCUGGCUGGCUCAGUCAGAGGAGCAUGUGAUUCUUGAUCUCAGGGUCAUGGGUUCAAUCCCCACGUUGGAUG